GUAGGUGACUGCGGAGGACAUUAGUGAUUAUAAUUCAAAGGGGUUGUCGCUGGCCUUGUGGCAUGUGCACGCUCUUUUGUUUUUCAUAACUCUCUCUCACCUGUGCACCUAAUGUAGGAUGCCUCUCUUUCGGGAGGGGGGACCUAUGUCUUCAUAUACCUCUUUGUGUAGAAAGUCUUUGAAUGUUUUACUAUCAAAGAGUCGUGACUUGUAGGAGACGCGGGUCUUUGAGAUAAAAGUUAAUUACAACUUUCAGCAAUGGAUCUCUUGGCUCUCGCAUCGAUGAAGAACGCAGCGAAAAGCGAUAUGUAAUGUGAAUUGCAGAUCUACAGUGAAUCAUCGAAUCUUUGAACGCACCUUGCGCUCCUCAGUGUUCUGAGGAGCAUGCCUGUUUGAGUGUCAGUAAAUUCUCAACCCCUCUCGAUUUGCUUCGAGGGGGAGCUUGGAUAGUGGGGGUUGCCGGAGACUAGGAUUUGUCCUAGACUUGGGCUCUCCUGAAAUGCAUUGGCUUGCAGUUGACUUUCGACUUUGCGCGACAAGGCUUUCGGCGUGAUAAUGAUCGCCGUGUGCUGAAGUGCAUGAAUGAAAAAGGUCCUGUGCCUCUAAUAUGUCGACUUAGUAUCUCUCCGGAGAGAAACUGUCUUCUUUUCAAUUGACUUUUGACCUCAAAUCAGGUAGGACUACCCGCUGAACUUAAGCAUAUCAUAAAGCCGGAGGAA
RNAcentral lists this ribosomal RNA (719 nucleotides) under uncultured Rhizopogon. RNAcentral's name for it is "eukaryotic LSU rRNA". The stretch from base 248 to 402 matches the Rfam family "5.8S ribosomal RNA". The record is from RNAcentral. Lineage: Eukaryota; Fungi; Basidiomycota; Agaricomycetes; Boletales; Rhizopogonaceae.